Molecule: unclassified non-coding RNA, 210 nt
Filed under: Hevea brasiliensis (rubber tree)
Lineage: Eukaryota; Viridiplantae; Streptophyta; Magnoliopsida; Malpighiales; Euphorbiaceae
Source: RNAcentral
UUUUUACAAUCAGGAGAACUUCCUAAAUUCGUUACACAAGAAAUGAUGUUCAUCAAAUAUGGACAUAUAGUUCUUUUGUACAGAAGGAAUUACGUAUGGUUUUAUGUUCAUCAAAUAAAGGCGACAUUCCUUAAACAGAAGGAAUCCAUGGAAAUAAAACCAUACGUAACAUAAAGGCAUAAAAAAAAAUUAAAUACCAGAAAGUUAGAA